GGGGAAGCAGGUUUCAGGUUCCUGCCUGGAUAUCUGGCUGGGGGUAAGGAGGGCGGCUCCCUGGCUGGCCAGCUCCUCAGUAUUGCAGGGCAGCAGCCCCCUCCCCCCUUUGUGCGUCCUGUGAGAUGGGCCAGGGCCAACGCCCUGCUCACGUCCCUACCGCCUUCGUCUCCUUUCCAGGCCCCUCCUUCCUUCCGGGCCAUUAGUCUCUCCCUGCACAGCUGCCAGUUCCUUCUCCUUGAUGGGUCUGGUUUGGUUGCCAGGGGAGUGGGAAGCGGGAGGAAGGGAGAGAUGGGACAGGACGAAUAAAUGACAGCUUGGCCUCCCCUAACUCCUGGGAAUUGGGAGGGGUAGGGUCCCACCCGGGAUAGGGCCGGGAGGCUUGGUGGGUGUGAGGAGGGGCUAGGGAAGCCUUGGUGCUUCCUGCCGCAGUCCUGGGCACUGAGCCCCAGCUGCUGUUGGCCUGGAGCCCCAUCUAUCCCGGAUUUGGCCCCACCCUCCAGGAGCAGGGAGCCAGCUCUGCAUCAGGAGAGGCGGGCAAGGCCUGGGGAGGACCAGCUCAGGCCCUGUCUACAGGGCACUAGUGGGGGACCCAAGCCUCUGAGAGUAGAGGCUGCUGGGGCUGCAGCUGGGCCUGGGGAGUUCCAGAUGGAGUUCCCGUCCUCACCCUGCUUAAGGGCUCCGCUGGCCACCUACAUGCCUCGGAGGAGAAGGGACAGAGGGCUGCCACAGCAGGGCUCUGGAGCUGUGGAUCAGGCCUGGGUGGGGAACUGCCAGGCAGAAGAGGCUCCUCCCCUAAAGCAGAAGGAGCAGGCCAGCAACUCCAGGCGGAGCAAAGAUGACAUUUAUCCAAGGGAGUGUAAAAUAGAGUCAGAGAAGCACUGGUAUGAGGAGUUUGGAGCCCUCAUUCCAUUCAUUCCCUGAGUUCUAGGAGCCUCCUCUGUUCCUCCAGAAGCCAAAAGACAGGGCAGGAAGACAAAAUCUUUCCGCAACUCCUCACCAUUCUCUGUUGUGCCCACAAUCUCCGGUUCCACCCUCACUGUAAAAUCACGUCUCCAUCCGCCUGCUUGAUCUUUCAGCCAGCCGCUCCUCAGCUGGAGAAUGGGAAAUAAUGGGCUGUGCCAGCAAGCCACACUCCAAGGGCAGAGUGCUCAGUGAACCUGUUCAAAGUGUGGCCUGGGCAGCUGCCUGAGGGUCACCCGGGCCAUGAAAAGGCAGGCCCCUGGGUCCUACCCACAUCUUCUGAAUCUUUAGAAGGGCAUUGACAAAUGCUCUACUGAUUUUUAAGUAUUCCUGGAUUAAGAUAUUUUUUCUUUAAAUUGUCCAUCUUUUACUCUAUUUUAUCUUGAAAAAAAUCAAACCCAGGACAAAGUUGAAAGAAUGCUGCUAUGAACACCAAUAUAUCCUUCCCUUGGAUUUACCAGUUGUCAAUGUUUUGCCACAAUUCCUCUGGAAGUGUUAGACAUCAUUAUAUUUAAUCUCUGAAUACAUUAGCAUGUAACUCCAAAGAACAAGGACAUUUUCCUACAUAACCACAGUAGGAUUAGCCCACUGAAGACAUUUAACAUCGAUUUGCCUUUAUUUGUGUAAAAAAAUUUUGUAACUAACAAAAAAGAAAUUUAACACUGAUAUAACAGUAUUAUCUAAUACACAGCCCAUAUUCAAAUUCCCUCAAUUGCCCCAAUAACAUUCUUUAUAGCUAUUUCCAUGCAAUCUAGGACUUGAAAAUCAUGAAUUGUAUUCAGUCAUCACCCGAGCAGAAGGGUAAGGCUGGGGAUGAGCUUGGCAUGUUUGAAGAAUUGCAGAAAGUUCAGUGAGGCUGGCGCGAGGCAGAUGAGGGAAGAGAGCGGGAAAGGUGAGGUUAGAGGCAUGGCAAGGAGUCAAAGAUCACGAGGCUUUUAAAAUCAGAGUAAAGAGUUUAUUUUAAAUGCAAUGAAAAGCCAUUAGAGGGUUUGAAGCAGGGAAUGACUUAAUCUGAUUUAUAAUUUUUGUUUUGUUUUGUUUUGUUUUUGAAAUGGAGUCUCGCUCUGUCGCCAGGCUGGAGUGCAGUCGUGCGAUCUUGGCUCACUGCAACCUCUGCCUCCCAGGUUCAGGUGAUUCUCCUGCCUCAGCCUCCCGAGUAGCUGGGACUACAGGAGCGUGCCACCACACACAGCUAAUUUUUUUGUAUUUUUAGUAGAGGUGGGGUUUCACCAUGUUGGCCAGAAUGGGCUCGAUCUCCUGACCUAGUGAUCUGCCCGCCUCGGCCUCCCAAAGUGCUGGAAUUACAGGCAUGAGCCACCUUGCUCCGCCCUGAUUUAGGAUUUUAAAAGGUCAAUCUGAAGACAAUUUCAGAGUUGGGACAUUCUAUAAGACAACUAGUCCUAGACUCUUUAAAAAGUUAAGGUCAAGGCCAGGCACGGUGUCUCACACCUGUAAUCCCAGCACUUUAGGAGGCCUAGGUGGGCGGAUCACCUGAGGUCGGGAGUUGGAGACCAGCCUGAUCAACAUGGCGAAACCCUGUCUCUACUAAAAAUACAAGAAAAAAAAAGUUAAUGCCAAAAUAAUAAUAAUAAUAAUAAUAAUAAUAAGUUUAUAUCAUUUUUUGUUGGUGUUUUUUGGAGCUUUCAUAACAAAUUACCACAAACUUGGUGGCUUAGAACAACAAAAAUGUAUUCUCUCACAGUUCUGAAGUCCAGAAGUCCAAAAUCAAGGUGUUGGUGGGGCUGUAGUCCCGAAGGCUGGAGCAGAGAGGAACCCUUCCUUGCCUCUUCCAGCUUGUGGUGCUCCAGGCAUUCCUUGGCUUGUGACCACAUCCCUCCAGUCUCUCCCUCUGUCUUCGCAUGGCCGUCUCCUCCUUUGUGUCCAUGUCUCCUCUUCCUCUUACAAAGACCCUCAUCUUUGGAUUUGGGGCCCACCCAAGUAAUCCAGGAUGAUCUCACCUUAAGAUCAUUGUUUACCCCUGUAAAGACGCUUUUCCCAAAUAAGGUCACAUUAACAUGUCCUAGGACAUAGACAUAUGUUUUGGGAAGCCACCAUUCAGUCCACUACAGUGGGAGAUCAUUUUGACAACAAGAGACUAAGAGAUGAAACAAUCAAAUGUAUGUACAAAGCUAGAUUGGACCCUAAAUUUUUUUUAAAGAGGUUAUUGGAGAAUUUGGGGUAUUAUAUGCUAUGAAAUGAUUAUUCUUCUUUUAGGUGUGAAGAUCGGAGUGUGGUUGUGUAAUGGAAUGUCUGCCUGCUAAAGUAUUUAGGAGUGGAGUGUCAUGAUAUCCUCAACCUUCUUUCUAGUGGGUUAGCAAAGAAAAGGUAUAUGUUCUAGAGAAAGAAAGAAAUGGCAAUUUUUAAAAAUUUUUUCUUCUAUUAAUUUUUUUCCUUUUUUAAAAAAAUAGUUUGUCUUCAUCUUACUUGUUAUUUUUUCUAUUUAUUUAUUUAUUUAAAAUAUUUAUUUAUUUAAAAUAGAUACUGGGUCUC
This 3453-nucleotide long non-coding RNA is filed under the name Homo sapiens (human). Its description in RNAcentral is "non-protein coding lnc-C1QL4-1:4". Lineage: Eukaryota; Metazoa; Chordata; Mammalia; Primates; Hominidae. The record is from RNAcentral.